This 531-nucleotide ribosomal RNA is filed under the name uncultured bacterium. RNAcentral describes it as "partial 16S ribosomal RNA". The record is from RNAcentral.
GCGAUUCCAGCUUCAUGCACUCGAGUUGCAGAGUGCAAUCCGGACUACGAUCGGUUUUCUGGGAUUAGCUCCCCCUCGCGGGUUGGCAACCCUCUGUUCCGACCAUUGUAUGACGUGUGAAGCCCUACCCAUAAGGGCCAUGAGGACUUGACGUCAUCCCCACCUUCCUCCGGUUUGUCACCGGCAGUCUCCUUAGAGUGCUCUUGCGUAGCAACUAAGGACAAGGGUUGCGCUCGUUGCGGGACUUAACCCAACAUCUCACGACACGAGCUGACGACAGCCAUGCAGCACCUGUGCGCCGGUUCUCUUUCGAGCACUCCCACCUCUCAGCGGGAUUCCGACCAUGUCAAGGGUAGGUAAGGUUUUUCGCGUUGCAUCGAAUUAAUCCACAUCAUCCACCGCUUGUGCGGGUCCCCGUCAAUUCCUUUGAGUUUUAAUCUUGCGACCGUACUCCCCAGGCGGUCUACUUCACGCGUUAGCUGCGUUACCAAGUCAAUUAAGACCCGACAACUAGUAGACAUCGUUUAGGGC